Molecule: long non-coding RNA, 204 nt
Filed under: Elaeis guineensis (African oil palm)
Lineage: Eukaryota; Viridiplantae; Streptophyta; Magnoliopsida; Arecales; Arecaceae
Description: long non-coding RNA (EGUI_LNC081196)
Source: RNAcentral
GGGGUUGAUUGUUCUCGACUGGAUACACUGGCUCAGUUGCAUCGGAAAGACGCAACCAUGUCUAUUAGGCAUUGGAUGCUACGAAUUAGAAGAUGGAUUGGGCUCAAUAUUUUAGAUAUGAUAAUGAGACAUGUCAUGAUCUUAUCAUCGACUCAUCUUUAUCCUUUCUUUUGGAUUAACACGUUUGACGUUGUUAUAAAAGGA